Long non-coding RNA from Gallus gallus (chicken), 10381 nucleotides. The record is from Ensembl. Lineage: Eukaryota; Metazoa; Chordata; Aves; Galliformes; Phasianidae.
CUCUGGGUGGCCAUUGGGAGCAAUGGGAAGUGGGGUGUUGCUGUGGGUGUCACUGGGGGUUGAGAAGUGGGGUGCUGUUCUUCAUGGCAGUCGGGAGGGUGAGAAGUAGGGUACCAUGCUGGGCGGCCAUUGGGAGGAAUGGGGUGCUGGUUCACAUGGCUUUUGGCAGGGAUGGGAUCAGGGUGCUGCACUGGCGAUCAUGGGGAGCGGUGGGUUCAGGGUACUCUGGUGGGGGGCUUUGAGGAGGGUAAGAAGUGGGGCACAGCUGUGGGUGCUCAUGGGGAGGGGUGAGGUCAGGUCCUGCUCUGCCCGGCCAUCAGCAGGGGUGCCAUUGGGGUGCAGGUCUGUGUGGGGCGGGAUGGCUGUGGGCCCCACCUCUUCCCCCUCAGCUUGCUGGAGGGUGGGUGAGAAACCUUUCGUGGUUUCUCUUCCUUGUGGCCGUGCGAAGGUGGUCCAAGUCCAGACUUCUGUUGGGCAGCAGAGCAGGAGAGCUGCCCAAAUUCCAACCCAGAGAAUACAAAGGGCCCCAUGCAGUGCUGUGGCUCUGGGGAGAACGAGCUGUCUCGGAGUGGUGGGACGUGUCCAGGGGCCACGGCGGGCUGCAGCCCCUCACCUUGUGUCCCUCACAGCUGCCAUUCUCUGGGGCCUGCCCUAACCGCGGCCAGGGUGGGCGCCAAUGGCCAACGCUCACUAUGGGAGGAGCCCUUCCUGCUCCUCGCGUGGCUGUGCUAUUUGCACUGUGACCACCGCCCACCCCGGCGGUCCCACCAGGCCACCCAGAGGGCCCUGGGGACGCUGCCCCACGUGCACCCCGCUAGGAAGCCUCUAGAUCCUGGGCACCGUUUCCUCUGACGCGUUCCUUCCCCCCGUCCUCUCCUGGCCUUGCGAGUGUCUGCAGGGCACCGUGCAUGCACUUAAAGUGUGUUCCUGGGUGAGGCUGUGGUCACUGGAAGCCCUUCCCAAAGCGACCCCCACAAGGCCACGUUCCAGCCUCCGGGUUGGAGGGCUGCUUCUCACACGGGCAGCUGAGCCGGAGGUCCGCAUGGAGUUCCAGCAGAAGUCCCAGAGAGUGUCCCUACUGCCUUCCCUUCCGUUCCCACCGGGAACAGCAGCGCGUCCGGUGCCUCCAACAGCUCCAAGGAUGGCCUCCCUGACGCCCCCUGAGCGCAAGGAGUUGUGGCUCUGCCAGUGCCUUUGUGCCCUGCCCACAGGGGAGGGGGCUCGGGGGGUGGCACCUGCAGCCACGAGGACUCCAUCUCCUGGCCGAGCAGAGGUGGUGAGGAGGGGAGCUGCGGCCUGGCGUGCAGUGUGGCUGCAAUAUGGGUGGCACCGCGUGGGACAUCACCGGGCUGUCAGCUCAGCACGGGCACAUGGCUGUCCAAAGAGGUUCCAGGCACAGAUAAGACGUUCAGUUGGGAUUUGCGCCUCAGGGGACCAGCGGGGACAUUUAAGGGCAGCGUGCGCGGCCAUUAUUAGUGCUUUUGGCUGUCAGCUUCAGCGUGUCCUCACAGACUGCCUCAAUGGCACCGAGCUCAGUGAGGGCCGCUGGGCCCCGGUGCGGCCUACAGCCCUGCUCCCCAUGGGGUGCUGCCCUGAAGGGAGGCAGGGCGAGCAGAUCCAGGUGCCCUCGGGGGCUGGGAGCUACAGAGCAGCCCUGCCUGGGGGUCACACAGCCGUGGGAGGGGUCAGGUUCGGGUGGGGGUCCACACUUCCCCCACUUCCCAUAUCCCAGAGCUGGGUGUCACAGGCCUGGUGGGACUCGAUGCAGUCAUUUCCCUCUAUUAUUGGAGCUUUUUUAUCAGUGAGUUACGAGUCCUUUGCCACCGGCAGUGGCCUGAGCGCUAUACGAUGUACAAAGAAAAGGCAGCUCUGGUGCCAAAGUGCUUAUUGUUCAAAAUGCAGAUUUUUUUUUGUUUUUCUUUUUUUCCCUUCAAAGCAAACCAAUAGACGGAAAACCAGAUGAAAAAACAGUGGGAGCCCAGAGACGAGAGAGAAGGAUUUACUUUGUUAUUUAACCUGGGAUCUGCUGCGCUGUGCUCAGCAGCCUGCCCUAAGGAGCCUGCCUUGGGAGGGGUUGGGCUGGGGGAUCUGCAGAGCUUCCUUCCCACCCCUGAAAUCCUGUGAUUCCGUGGUUCUGUCUUCUCCAGGCACCCCUUGAAAUGGAGCCCUGGCAGAGAUCGUAGAUUGGUUUGAGUUGGACGGGACCCUGAAAAGCCAUCUGGUCCCACUCCCCUGCAAUGGGCAGGGUCACCCACAGCUCCUUCAGGAUGCUCAGAGCCUGGUCCAUUUCUGAGUGCUUCAUUGUUUUUAACGUGCCGCAGAAUUCUGUGUCGCCAACUCACGAGUGCAGAUGUUGUUGUGGACCGGCAGGAGCUAUUGGCAGUUGGGUCUUUUCCCACCUCCGAAGACAUGUGAAGCAAUUUGGAUCCAUGCGACGCUAGCUGAAUUGUGCUGUUAACAUGAUAAGUGGCGUUACAAGUGAGAGCAUUAGACAAAAAUUCACAUCUUUGGGAUCCUGAAUGUGUCUGUUAGCUGUAUGUCUCCAAAGAAAUUUUGUCACCCUGUCUGCAGGCUUUAAUAACACAACAGCAAAGUACUAGACUGUGUUUGGUUCAGGUUUGGGGCUACGGUUGCGUUCUUUUUCAUUGCUAUAAAAAUCCAGCAAAAUCUGGCCUUACCAUAAACCUGUGAGAAGUUGAGUGUGCACGUGUUCUGUAGAUACUCCCUAUGCAUUUGCAGAUAAACCCAUUGGAAACGCAACCAAGGUAUUUGAAACACACAGGCCUAUCAAUGCUGUGAAGCGCAGUGUUGCCACAAGAACCGGUGCCAUGGCAGAAGUCGAGAGGAAGCUGCUCAUUCCGGCAUGCCCAGCCUGCACGCCAUGCCAUCCUUCAGUCUUGGAGCUGCAUGUCAACCAGGAUGACAAAAGCAGUGAUGGAACGGCAGCUUGCUUGGGGGGCUGUGCAGGGGACCAUGGGCCCUCUGGAGAAAAACAGCAAGCGAGGAGGUCGUUAAUGCUGGGGGAGCAGUCUGCAACUGCGGCCCUGGUGCUGUCCUUCCCAGUGCCAGCAGUGAGAGCCAAGGCAGGAGGGAGCUGUGCCUGUGAGUCCCGAUGGUGAGAGCUCUGCGUGAACCACCUUGGAGCCCGGACAGCUGUUAUGAUAGACCUCUAUUCUGAGCUGUUUGUCUGGUGAGUCACUUUUAAAGGAACAAGGCUGAAACCACAUUGCUGCUAAUGACUCUUUCCACGGGUGUGGCUUCCCUUUGCUUGAGUACGCUUGAAGUCAUGCGCAGUGAGAGGUGUUUUCAGGGACCGGCUUAUUUUUGGCACUGAAUUUAGAACAGGGCCAUGUUCUGCCCAGAAGUUCACACCUUGCAACUGGCUCCCACCCACCCUUCACUUAUUUACCAUUCUGUUUUGAAAAUGGACCGAGGACUACAGACCACACAUGCCUAUGAGAUGCUGCACUUCAUUCAUGAUGGUACUUCAGAUACUGAGUGUUGAACCCCCAGAACAGGAGAGCAAGUCAGUAAUUUGCACCAGGUCAACUUGAUUAUUUUCUGAUUAUUUUCGUCCCGCUAAUCCUGUCGAUUAAAGAGAGGUGAUCCAGAGCUGUCAGUAAUCUUUGGGGAUGAAGCACGGGUGGAGCAAAGUUGAGCUUAGUGAAAUCUACCGGAUAGACCAAAACAGCACCAAACUGUUUGGUUCUCACCCCCACUGACUCUCUCUUAAAAAAUACAUGUAGGAAGAUUGAGCAUAGAAAACAUUUAUCAUUUCAGCGCAACUUCUCCUAUAUCUCUUUGUGCCUCCUUGUUAAAUAGUGCUUUGCUCUCUGGAAGCAAGGCGAAAAACAAGGGGACAGAAUAAAGUUGGGGUACUUGAAUUUGUGACUUAAUUACGUCGUCAUUACCAGAGCGGCUUCCCUAGAUGUGUGCAGGACUGUGUGAUACAUCCUGAGGAACGCGUCCCAGUCCUGUGAGGUACCUGGUGAAAUCAUUUCAAGUAUCUACUGCCGACUUUGCUGGGAAUAAAGAUGCCUUGGGAGACUCACUGCACCCAACCCAGCCACGGAAACAGCAAUUGUGCCUUCGCCUCUCUCUGUUCUCAAAUACAAGCAGUUUGUCACCAAAGUGGUGCUUGAAGUAACUUCACUAAUUUCAGUACGGUUUAACCGAGAGCAGGUUUCAUCUGUUGCCUCCGAAAUAUUAGUUUGUGGAUUCCUGUGGAAAGAUAAAACAGGAGGGAGAAAAAUAUUCUCCUUCACUUGUGUGAAUUCCUACUAAAACAUCAUUUACUUUCUUGUUCCCUAGUGGAAAAGCAUGCUUGAUUUCAAUUAAAAUGAAAUGUCAUCAUUUUGGGACGUGCUGCAUAGUUUUAACAAAUACGCCUUGUGUUCAUCCAUCAGGGAGAAGAUGUUGGAUUUGUAUAAAGGCCAACAGGUACAGAGGAUGCUUUGCAUUCAUGGUGAAAUUACCUGUGCAUGUAUCCUACCAGCACCCUGUUUAGCUGAACUCAGCCGGGGCAGAGGAUUUUCCCUCCUUUUCCACCCGUGUUAGUUGCAGGUGUUUAGAGCAGUCUUUGUUCCACCUCUCUGGUGAUGGAUUUCCUCAAUUCUGCAGCCUCAGGUCUGGGUCCCUGGGUCCCAGCAGCCUUUCCCAGUUGGAGAUACUGUGUCCUGCAAGCCCCCACUGUACUGGUUGGCAGCAGUGGUCACUGGUGAUGUUUUGCUCUGAACAAGGCUGUAUGGUAUGUCCUGUAGUUGAGGGAAGUCUACAGAACUGAAUUUUACCAUAAAAAAAAAAAAUAUAUAUAUAUGUAUACAUAUAUAUAUAAAUUCCUGUUGAAGCAUCCUGCUAUACAUUAUUUUUUAAUUCAAAGGCUGUUUCUCUUUCCCCUCACCCCUUCCCAGUGGGAUGGGGGAAAGAAUAAGAAAACAAACAAAGUAGAAUUCGGAGGUUGAGGUAAAACUUUACUAAGACAGAGAAAAGGAAAAUAGUUAUGACUGUACGUAUACAUAAAUGUCUAUAAGAAGUGAUGCACAAGCAGUUGCUCACCACGCUCGACCAAUGCUCAUCUGGCCCUUGAGCAGUGGAAUAGAGCAGUAUGAAUUCCUACCCCCUUCAAAACGCCUUCCACGUGAUGCCACAUGAUAUGGAAUAUCCCUUUGGCUAGUUUAGGUCAGCUGUCCUGAUUCUGCUCUCUCCCAGCAACUUGGGCCCUUUGCUGAGAGUGGCCUUGGCAUAGCAGGCAACUAUAAAGAUUGCUGCAUUAUCAACGGAGUUUAUCUCCUAGAACCAAGACAUAGCAUCAUACCAGUCACUAUGAUGAAAACGGUUCCAUUCCAGCUGAAACUAAGACAAUAUCUUAUCCUUUUGCCAUUUAAAUUUGACAUGUAAAAAUUUCUUUUCAAGCCGUACUACAGUGAAGUUAGUUCUGUCAGUUUACUUCACUCAAGUAAAUGGGCAUAUGUAGGUAGUUAUGGAAAUACGUUGGUCGUGAUGACAGCUGGACUAAGAAUACGAAAUGUGCAAUAAGGCAACUUCUUAUGAAGAUUUCAGCAGGUAUCUUUAAUAUUUCCUCAAGAACAAACAUCUGGAAGAAAUGCUUUUCUCAUGGAAACGUUUUUAAUAUGGUACGUUUUCUUCGAGAAAAGACAGGGAAAUGUUAAUUGGAGGUGUGUAUCGUAGCCAAUUAACUUGAUAAUACACCUGUAAAACUAGAAACAGUGUUAUUCUUUGUCUACUGCUUGCCAUCUUCUAUUAAUGACUAAAGAACAGAAAAGUAUUCUACGUAUGAUAAUGUGAUUUGUGGCUUUCUUCCCCAGGUAGACCUAUUUAAAAAGUAAGAAAUGUUUGGAGGGAGGUAUGGCACCUAAAAUGCCCGUUUCACAGAAGUUUGCUAUUCUGUAACGUCAAACAAAAGUGUGUUUGGAACGCCCAGGCUUCUGAGUGCAGUCAGCGUGAUGAGUGUCACUGGUGAUGAUUUACGGUCAUUCUGCAUGACCAAACUAAACAAAGUUCUGGGUAGCAGACGUACUUUGUCUUCAGCUUUUGAAUGGAAUUAGCAUAUUGUAUGUGUGAAAAGAACUGUAUUCUUUGUUUUUUGUUUGUUUGUUUGUUUGUUUGUUUGUUUUCCUUGGGGCUUUCUUUAUUUCCUAUUCUCCUAAUCUGGAUCUUGUGAGCAUACAGUAUGAUGAUAUGGGUAUCAAAAUGUCUGAUUCAAAGACAACUCCCUCACAGUGUUUGAAGGCAGAUGCUAUAUUCCAAGUAGAGGGAGAAGUUCUGAACUAUGCCAUGACAUGAUAACCAAACUUUUCAUAAGUAGUAUUCCUGAAACGCUUAGACUUGAAUGUAUUUUGGGAAAUGCCUAACACUGUUUUCCUUAUAUCAAAAUUUUAAUACGUGUUUUAACUUAAUGUUACAUUUUCAUUCCAAAUGAGGAAGAUGAAAUGUCUUGAUCGGCCCCUUGAAAGCAUCCAACAUAAUUUUCUCCAGAGUGUGUGGGGUCAUCCAUCAUAAAGCUACACAGAAUGUUCCUGCAUUGCUCUCCCUGCUUCAGAAACUCAGUAAUUUGAUUGAUAAAAGUGUCUUACAAUUCCUCACAUAAAUGUGAGCAUGGCAAUAUUUUUGUUAUCAGUAUCAUCCUUUAACUCGAGUAGUUCUUCCUUUCUUGGCUUAUCACUAAUAAUGCUCAUCAUGCUGGGAUAAAUGAUGUCUCUUACACAAUGGAUUCUCCAUUCUCUUCUAAGUAGCCCUUCUCUGCUUUUUUUUUUUUUUUUUUUUUCCAUUUUGAAUUCAUCUUUCCCAAAAAGGUUGAAUAGAAUUACAUUCAGCGUCCCAUAUAAAGCCUUACUGCAUCUUGCUCAGUGCAAUUAAUAGUUGCUUACAUCUGCUAGAAGUCACCUGGCUCACAUCUUAGGAUCACUUUUGAUUCUUUCAACAGCAUCUGAUAUUUACCCCGGAAUUCAGGAACACGUCCAGGUCAUUAUCCUGUAUGAUUUCUAGUUGGUGUCUUUCAGGCUGUAGCCUUUUUCUAACAGUUACCAAACUAAGAGACUCAUUAUACCUAAUCUUCGCAGGCCAGAUCUGGAUCCUCAGCUCCGCAAGAGGUGUCAACAGCAGCUGUGACGAACUGUUCUCAGCAGGUCCCCUACCAAAGCACAGCUGACUGGAGACCUGUCUUCUGGAUGGCAGUCAGAUGAGGUGAAUCCCUCACUGUCUACACUUCCCAUUACAUACUGUUGCAUCUAAUGUACUUUCUAUUGCUUUGGUCUUCAAUGAGCAGAACUUCCAGUGUGAUGCUCCCAUCAUUGCCACUACCUCCUUCAAUUUGUCACUGGAACGUUUUAUUAGCUUACUCCUCCCUUUACUGCAGAGAUCAUUGAUGAAAUAAGCAGUAAGAUCAUUUCCAGCACUAACUCUUGGUGAGUACUGUGGACUGUAUUCUAAGAGCACGUUCAGAAAGCUUGCCAUGACCUUCUCUUUGUUAGUUAAUUGCUGUGUUCUGAUACAUACAAGCUGACUGAUACUUUUUGUGCAUUAGAAUAUCAAAUAUUUCCAAAGUCCAAUCAAAUAUGAUCUACAUUGCUUAAACCGUAAGGUUAGAGAAAACAUUAAAUUUGUCUAAUACGAUCUGUCUUUCAUAAAUCAUCUCUCAUUUUGUAUCCACGUGCUUAUUGUUGUUUUAUUCAAAACUUAAGUAUUGCACAGCAUAAACUCCAGAAGUUUGGUGUCCGCUAAGAUUAUUUUCCUCCCACUUUCUGGAAAGAUGUCCACAUUCCCUGUGCUUCAGUAAUACAUCUGUAUUCCUGGUUUGACAGACUGAUGGCUUAGUGUGCCAGCUCCUUAAGUCUUCUGGGCUGGAGAUCAUCCCCAGAUUGAGCACAUAUUAAAGUUUUUGCAUACAGCUUUCGUCUUAGAUGCUAUCAUUUACAUUUCUGUGGAUUUAUUCUCAUUAGUAGUUCUGUUUAUAGUUUUUGCACUGAGCUAAUAUUCAUUUUUAUCUGUGUGAAGGUAGUGCAGAGCUUUCAAGUUCUACAAGACAUUGCUGUAGUCUCAAAUGUAGUUUUUCGUAUAAAGGUUGCCAUUUGAAAGCAGAAUUACAGUUUAGAGUUUGAUUUCAUUCCAGCAGAUGUUGAAUUCACAGAAUCACAUACUGUCUGAGCCGGGAAGAGACCGCUGGGUCCUUCUGAUCCAACCCCCUCCCCAGGAUCGGACACCCAGAGCAGAGUGCCCAGGCCCCCGUCCAGCUGAGUUUUGAAGACGUCCAAGCAGGAAACCCCAACAUCUCUCUGGGAAACCAGUAACAGUGCUCUGGCACCAGCACAGUGAAGAAGUGCUUCAAGAAAUGUAGGAAGGAGAUCUUGGGUUCAGGUCCACGGCAGCACUAAGCCGUUGGUGAUGUGCCACGGCUACAUCUUCAGAGAGAUGGGAGAAGCGUCGCCAUUCGCACAGGAACAAAUAUGCUGACUCAGUAAUGGAAGAAUGCUAAAGAAAAUGUAUCCACUUGGAGAUCUUUUUUCUAUAUUCUUUCAUCCUAGAAUUUCAUGGAACGAGAAUAACAUAGUUACUUGUUUGUGUUGAAAUCAAACAUGCUUGUUCUUCACUUGCAAAAAUAGGAAACUUCUUUCAAAGUGACACUCUUCAUGAAAGAAUAGAAGUGUGCAGCUGCUGUAUGACUAAGUGAUUAAAAACCUGAUGGCUAAUUCAUUUUAGGUGAUAUGUUUGCACUCAAGGCCAAGUAUCAUAAAAAUAGCUGCUUCGCUUUUCUUUUUUAAUAUUAAGUAAAACACCAUAGAGUUUUCAGUAGGCUGGCAAGAUUUUCCAUAUCCAGUUUUGCCCAAUUGAAGUCAGGCUACCACAACUAGAAUUGUCUUCUCUCUAAUAUUUCCCUUUUACGCAGCCUUCACCCACGUAGUUUUUACUAGACAAAUGGUUUUAAACUACCUGAGGCCAAGGGGAAAGUUCACAACAUUUUAUAAAUCUUGCCUGGAAAAUGCCAAGAUAGAUGGCAUUUUCUUGGCUCGUACACUGUGUGUAGGGAAGUAGAGAGAGUUUAGAGAGUUUAUGAGACUUAAUAGUCUGCUCACCAAAGCGGUAGUAUUUAACUCAUUGAGUGCUAUUUGAGGACUCGACAUGGCUAGAGAAGAAUGUCAUAUUGUUGUUAAUAUUAUUAUUUGUUAUUUUUGUUAUUGAGCUUAGAUGCGUAGAAGACAACCAGAGAUGCUUGAUUUUGGGUUCAGUGUGCUGAUGUACGUUGCUUGUCCUUAUAAUCUAAUUAAAAGAUGAUGUAAAAAAUACGUGGGAAUGAGAACAGAAAGAGGAUGAAGAAGAAAAUAAUUGAAGUAAUACAUGGUGGUUGGAUUAGUUAUUUGCACAAUUAGCUAUUUGAAUUAGCUACUUGACAAGUGAUAUAGAAGAAAGAAUAAAGGGCUAUCUCUGUCAAAGACAGUUUUUAGUGAAGCUGCUACUGUAAGUGUAUUAUGAUUUAAAUAUAAAGAGCUUCAGGUUUCAGUUAAAUGGAUUUUGAUUCUGCUUAUUUUUCUAAUGCUAGAUUUGUUUCAUUUCUGUAUUAAGCUCCUCUUAUUAAACCAUGCAGUGUCUGAUGGAAAUUUCAACCUUUGUUUCAAGUGCAAUGCAGUUUCCUGGGAGCAGACUAAGGCAUAACCUAACGAUUUUUUUAAACACUUAUUUGUGCUCAACAAAGAGAUUGAACAUAAAAUCUCAGGAUUUAUUGAAAUACUCUGAGCCGGAGAAACAGGUAUACAAUUAUUUCUAGAUAUUGGAUUGCUUUUCAGCUGACAAACUCAUAACUUUGCUACUGCGUUCUUCUGACAUGCUCAACAGAGGUUUGAUUAUGUCUAUCCCCAUUUAGCUAGGUAGAGUGCCAUCUCCGCUGGGGGAAACAGAGAAAACAGCUACUUGAAAACAAGAAACUAUUAAUAUUUGAUCAAAAUUAAAUUGAUUGUAUGGGAUGAAUAUGAGGUAGGAAAUUGUAGUCAAAUUAAUUUUCACAGCAAAUUGGUCUCAAUUUUUUUGAGAAGGACCCAAAGUGAGUUAUGGACCCAACAGUCCAAUGCAGUCAGAUCCAGGAGACUGGAAUCUUCAAGUCCUUCACAUGGCAAGCCACCAGUCUGGAAUGUCUUACCUGACUGAUUUUCCAGAACCACUUCCUUCAAGCUGAAGAGCCAUCUCAACAUGUGGAAAGGCAAGCCUGAGUGGCAGGAGACCUGCAUGGCUGGGCAAUGAAUGGACGCAAACAUAAAAAGGAAGAGAGGAAAAGGUGGAAGCAGGGCACCCACAUCGUGACUUAAGGUCAUCAAGGGCUGUGAGAUUUGUAUGGAAUACAACAAAAAUAUCAAAUAAAAUUGAGGAACUUAUC